This 133-nucleotide small RNA is filed under the name Klebsiella pneumoniae. Its description in RNAcentral is "RtT sRNA". It matches the Rfam family "RtT RNA". From Rfam's summary of the family: This family represents a bacterial cis-regulatory element known as RtT RNA. The exact function of RtT is unknown although it is thought that it may be involved in changing the cellular response in relation to amino acid starvation. The record is from RNAcentral. Lineage: Bacteria; Pseudomonadati; Pseudomonadota; Gammaproteobacteria; Enterobacterales; Enterobacteriaceae.
UGUUUGCACUUAGCGGGAAGGGCAAGAACCUUCGACUACGGUUCGUCUCGAGCGCCAGCGAGAGAACGUUGCCACAGGCAACGGCCCGAAGGGCGAGGAGAGAUAGCGACGAGUUAUCCUUCCCCCACCACCA